RNAcentral lists this ribosomal RNA (468 nucleotides) under uncultured bacterium. RNAcentral's name for it is "partial 16S ribosomal RNA". It matches the Rfam family "Bacterial small subunit ribosomal RNA", at positions 28 to 507 of the family's 1533-position model. The record is from RNAcentral.
GACGAACGCUGGCGGCGUGCUUAACACAUGCAAGUCGAACGGAGAGGCCCUGCUUUUGUGGGGUGCUCGAGUGGCGAACGGGUGAGUAACACGUGAGUAACCUGCCCUUGACUUUGGGAUAACUUCAGGAAACUGGGGCUAUUACCGGAUAGGAGCUCCUGCUGCAUGGUGGGGGUUGGAAAGUUUCGGCGGUUGGGGAUGGACUCGCGGCUUAUCAGCUUGUUGGUGGGGUAGUGGUUUACCAAGGCUUUGACGGGUAGCCGGCCUGAGAGGGGGACCGGCCACAUUGGGACUGAGAUACGGCCCAGACUCCUACGGGAGGCAGCAGUGGGGAAUAUGGCACAAUGGGCGGAAGCCUGAUGCAGCAACGCCGCGUGCGGGAUGACGUCCUUCGGGUUGUAAACCGCUUUCGCCUGUGACGAAGCGUGAGUGACGGUAAUGGGUAAAGAAGCACCGGCUAACUACGUG